UGUCCAGGGAUGGGAACCGAACCCACAGCGCUCCGCCCACCGGGCAGACGCCAUGUCCACUAGGCCUAUUCCCAUCCUUGGAC
This is a non-coding RNA of Cordylochernes scorpioides, 83 nucleotides long. Lineage: Eukaryota; Metazoa; Arthropoda; Arachnida; Pseudoscorpiones; Chernetidae. The record is from the annotation of a GenBank genome assembly.